UUAAGUUCAGCGGGUAGUCUCACCCGAUUUGAGGUCAAGGUUUGUUUCGUGGGUCAAGCCUCCCACCGAAAAAUCGGCGGCGACCGGAACACCAUCGUUGUCAAUGAGACGGUUAGAAGCAGGAGCACAGCGCCAAAAAUCCAAAAGACGUAAAAACAACUUAUCACGCCAAGGACCGACAAUGCAGACCCCACUAAUAC
Molecule: unclassified non-coding RNA, 200 nt
Filed under: Russula sp.
Lineage: Eukaryota; Fungi; Basidiomycota; Agaricomycetes; Russulales; Russulaceae
Description: partial internal transcribed spacer 2
Source: RNAcentral